GUAGGUGGCAAGCGUUGUCCGGAAUUAUUGGGCGUAAAGCGCGCGCAGGUGGCUCUUUAAGUCUGAUGUGAAAGCCCCCGGGCUCAACCGGGGAGGGUCAUUGGAAACUGGGGAACUUGAGUGCAGGAGAGGAAAGUGGAAUUCCACGUGUAGCGGUGAAAUGCGUAGAUAUGUGGAGGAACACCAGUGGCGAAGGCGACUUUCUGGCCUGUAACUGACACUGAGGCGCGAAAGCGUGGGGAGCAAACAGGAUUAGAUACCCUGGUAGUCCACGCCGUAAACGAUGAGUGCUAAGUGUUGGGGGGUUUCCGCCCCUCAGUGCUGCAGCUAACGCAUUAAGCACUCCGCCUGGGGAGUACGGUCGCAAAGACUG
This 373-nucleotide ribosomal RNA is filed under the name uncultured organism. Its description in RNAcentral is "partial 16S ribosomal RNA". It matches the Rfam family "Bacterial small subunit ribosomal RNA", at positions 527 to 896 of the family's 1533-position model. The record is from RNAcentral.